Long non-coding RNA from Oreochromis niloticus (Nile tilapia), 3197 nucleotides. Lineage: Eukaryota; Metazoa; Chordata; Actinopteri; Cichliformes; Cichlidae. The record is from Ensembl.
UAUAUAUUUUUUGUAUCACAUUUGAUACAUUGGAUGUUUUCUGGCAACUUUUUGUUAACAACAAUGUUAAUUUUAGACAAAAAAAGAGUUUUGCCCAUAACAUUUUGAAAUUAUGGCAAGUUUUGAUCAUGUUGAUGAGAUAGAGGUCUCAGAAACUCAUGUAUCAAAUACGAUACAAAGGGCAUUAUAUGGUUAAAAUUACCAAUGCGAAAUAUAUCCAAAGGAAAGCUUAAUUAUUAUUAAUUUGCAACUUUGCAGUUAUCUGACAAUUUAUGAAAGCUUGACACCGACCCUACUUCUGCUUUAAGAUCCCAAUGAUUUUCCAAUCACACCUGUGUAAAGGUGUGAUAAUAUGCUCUUUUUCAUUCUCAAACACAUUUGUUUAAAGGUGAAGAUCCAUGCCACGGUAAAUCAGAGAGAAUUCCUUUCAGAAACAGUGCCAUAACAUUCAGCUUAAUGUUAAAAAACAAUAACCUACACAGGACAUUUCAAAAGAUUUUCUGCAAUAAACAAGCACAAUAGAAGAGAUAGAAUAGAGUUGUAAUGAAGUUACACUAGACAAGCACAGUGAUUUACUGUGGUGUCCUAACGGUCCUGCUAAGCAGGUCAACGUGUCACACAGCCGUCAGGGCCAGAUCUAAGAAAGAAACGGCUCCUUCUCCUCCCUCUGUGUGUGUGUGUGUGUGUGUGUGUGUGUGUGUGUGUGUGUGUGUGUGUGUAUGUAUGUGUGUGUGUGUGUGUGUGUGUGUGUGUGUGUGUGAGACUGGGAGAUUUUAUUAAAGGCAAAAACAAUAAGGACAUUUUAAUUAGUGAUUAUUUUUAAAAGUAGACCUAAUCAUACCAUUUUUCUUGCCUUCAGGGAUCCAGACCUCACUUCACAGACUCCUUGCAGCUUAGUGGGAGAGCGUUAAUUUUAGCAGCUCAUGAAAUCGAAGACAAGUGCCCUUCUAGCUGAGAACUCCUCCCAAAUUUCUCAAAAUCCCCAUCACGCAUAUAUGAGUUUGAUGCCUGGGAAAAAUACUCCUCAUUACUUCGUCCAGUCUUACACCAUCAGCUAUACACUUCUUCUAAUACUGGAUGUGUGGGAGGCAUGCCGAUGUGAACAUGUAAUAUUACAUGAAAUAUAAUUAACUAACUACACCACCACUACCAACUCUACGGUGUUAAUUAUUCAUUUGAUGCAGAAGAGCCUGGUAUCAAAAUGUAGACCUUCCUUAUGCUUGUUUUGAUCAGCGAGUUAAUGAUCGUGAUGCUCCGGGUUGGCGUUAAAAAAAAUCAUGCUGAACAAAAAUGUGAAUUUUGGCUUUAGAUUGUGAUGCUUGAGUGGAAAUUGAUUUGAAUGCAGGUUUUAUCUUUAUUAUGAAGAUUUCAAAAUGUUGGGGGGGAAAAGUGAUUUUCUUUUUUUUCAUGUAACAUUUACAAACACAUAGUUGUGUUCAGUGAAAUACUGCUGUUGGAGUUGAUUUCCAGUUUUUUAAUUUAUUUUGUGUUACAAAAUGUGUUGACUAAAUGCAUACUUAUAAAACUACAAAACAAAACUAGGAAAACUAAACUAUGUUUUCUUUACUUCUGUAAAGUGUGACAUUGUCAGCAGUGCAUGUAGUUGUUUAGUCCAGUAGCCAUGAAAAUUUAAAAAAAAGAAAGAAAAGGAAAAACACUGCGUAAAUCAGCACACCGUCCUAACAUUUUUGUUUGUUGUUGCUGUUGUUUUUCCUUCCGAAUGAAAAACAAACAAAUGUUAAAUCUUCACUUGUCGUCAGCGUCGCCAUCAAAGCGCAAACGAGGAAACCAUGAGACCUCAAUCUGAUGGGACAAGUUGGGACACGCACAACGGCCUGCCAAACCCGGAUGUGGAUUCCAGAUGGAGCUCUGAGGGAAACCCACAGAUACACACAGCAGUUUUACAACUCCUGUUAACAGUUACAGCAAAGUGAUUGUCGUCUGGCUUAUGAGAGGUUUCCCUCUUUCUGUCUUUAUUUUCAGUGGAGGGGAGACGCAACAGCUUGAGAUUCCUGAAGGUCACGUAGACCUUCAAAGAAAGCAGUUGUCACCAAACAGAUGAUGAAAUCAUCCGUACAUCAGCAUAGUUAGGGGAAACUGAGUCACGUCAAGCAUAUGGCAGGCAAAGCUGAAGAGCUAUCACACUUUCACUUUUAUGCACUUGCACAAACAAGUUUUAACACACUUUUUGCCAAUAAAGCAAAAUGUGACAAAUGGCUAUGUAAGUGAACAUAGUGAAUCAAAGACUUGCUUCUACCAGAUUAUCAAUCUGUGCUGCUAAAAUAUAUUUUCAUGUUCACAUGUGGUUCACAGAGAAUCCUUAGAGCCAGAAGGGCCUGGUUUGUAUUCAGUUAGGGGCCUAAUUGUGUGGAGUUUAAGUGUUCUCCCCCUGUUUGUAUUAGUUUUCUCCGGGUACUUCAGCUUCCUGCACCUUUCAAAGACAUGCAUGGGGGUAGGUUAAUUAGUGGUUCUAAACUGACUGUAAUGGGAGUGUGGAUGGUUUUCUGUCUAUCUGUGUUAGUUUUGUGACAGACCUGUCCUGGGUGUAUCCUGCUUCUUGCCCUGAGACAGCUGAUAAAGGCAUCAGCCCCUGUGUGAACUAAGCAGCAGAAAAUGGAUGGACUGACAUCACAUUGCACCCUUUUCCUGUUCUCUGAUGCAAACAGAGUUGGACGAUACUGGAUGGAAAUAUACAUUACUUUGCAAAAAACUCAAACAUUUGUGGUACAUUUGUACAGAAACUCGACUUUAUGACAGCAGGCUUUUUAUCCUGCCCUAACCUUCAUUUUUUUUAAUUUGGUCUUAUAAAUUUCUAUUUAACUGACUGGAGUCCGGCAUUUACAAUUGGUAAUGCUCAUUUCUAUGAUCCCACACUGUCACGGCUGGGGCGGCAGUCGUGUGGAGGUGAGAAAGGAGGAUCCAAAUGCAGACAGCGGCGGAGGCGGACGUGGGUUUUAUUUAAGUGCACAAUAACCAAGGUGUGGGCAGAACUGAACAUAAACUUAAACUGGGAAAACUAAUACAAAAGAAGGACAUGGAGCGAGGAGCAGAGAGACACGGAGAAACACGGAAUAACAUUAAAUACACGGAAGAUUCACAGGGAAACACAGACAACACGACGAGGAGCACAGGCAGACACACAGUAUAAAUACACACAUCAGGUAAUCAGGAAAUGGCACACAGGAGGGGACACAGCU